RNAcentral lists this ribosomal RNA (497 nucleotides) under uncultured bacterium. Its description in RNAcentral is "partial 16S ribosomal RNA". It matches the Rfam family "Bacterial small subunit ribosomal RNA", at positions 28 to 507 of the family's 1533-position model. The record is from RNAcentral.
GAUGAACGCUGGCGGCGUGCCUAAUACAUGCAAGUCGAGCGAACAGAUGAGGAGCUUGCUCCUCUGACGUUAGCGGCGGACGGGUGAGUCACACGUGGAUAACCUACCUAUCAGACUGGGAUAACUUCGGGAAACCGGAGCUAAUACCGGAUAAUAUAUUGAACCGCAUGGUUCAAUGGUGAAAGACGGUUUUGCUGUCACUUAUCGAUGGAUCCGCGCCGCAUUAGCUAGUUGGUAAGGUAACGGCUUACCAAGGCAACGAUGCGUAGCCGACCUGAGAGGGUGAUCGGCCACACUGGAACUGAGACACGGUCCAGACUCCUACGGGAGGCAGCAGUAGGGAAUCUUCCGCAAUGGGCGAAAGCCUGACGGAGCAACGCCGCGUGAGUGAUGAAGGUCUUCGGAUCGUAAAACUCUGUUAUUAGGGAAGAACAAAUGUGUAAGUAACUAUGCACGUCUUGACGGUACCUAAUCAGAAAGCCACGGCUAACUACGUG